RNAcentral lists this ribosomal RNA (467 nucleotides) under uncultured bacterium. RNAcentral's name for it is "partial 16S ribosomal RNA". It matches the Rfam family "Bacterial small subunit ribosomal RNA", at positions 29 to 507 of the family's 1533-position model. The record is from RNAcentral.
ACGCACGCUGGCGGCGUGCUUAACACACGCCAGUCGCACGGAAAGGCCCUGCUUUUGUGGGGUGCUCGAGUGGCGAACGGGUGAGUAACACGUGAGUAACCUGCCCUUGACUUUGGGAUAACUUCAGGAAACUGGGGCUAAUACCGGAUAGGAGCUCCUGCUGCAUGGUGGGGGUUGGAAAGUUUCGGCGGUUGGGGAUGGACUCGCGGCUUAUCAGCUUGUUGGUGGGGUAGUGGCUUACCAAGGCUUUGACGGGUAGCCGGCCUGAGAGGGUGACCGGCCACAUUGGGACUGAGAUACGGCCCAGACUCCUACGGGAGGCAGCAGUGGGGAAUAUUGCACAAUGGGCGGAAGCCUGAUGCAGCAACGCCGCGUGCGGGAUGACGGCCUUCGGGUUGUAAACCGCUUUCGCCUGUGACGAAGCGUGAGUGACGGUAAUGGGUAAAGAAGCACCGGCUAACUACGUG